Molecule: unclassified non-coding RNA, 249 nt
Filed under: uncultured fungus
Lineage: Eukaryota; Fungi
Also listed under: 1 other name
Description: partial contains 5.8S ribosomal RNA, internal transcribed spacer 2, and large subunit ribosomal RNA
Rfam family: 5.8S ribosomal RNA (bases 1-52)
Source: RNAcentral
AACGCACAUUGCGCCCGCCAGUAUUCUGGCGGGCAUGCCUGUUCGAGCGUCAUUUCAACCAUCAAGCCCCCCGGGCUUGUGUUGGGGACCUGCGGCUGCCGCAGGCCCUGAAAAGCAGUGGCGGGCUCGCUGUCACACCGAGCGUAGUAGCAUACAUCUCGCUCCGGUCGUGCUGCGGGUUCCGGCCGUUAAACCACCUUUUAACCCAAGGUUGACCUCGGAUCAGGUAGGAAGACCCGCUGAACUUAA